CAGUACUGAUUACCAUAAUAGUGACUAUCCGUUUUAUCGUCCUUAAAUAAUCUAUUAUUUCACAAAAUUUCGAUUCUUGGUGCGUCACCGCUAGAAAUGAUAAUAUAACUUUUGCUGGACGAUACAGUUUGUGAUCUGAAACGAAUUCGUGCGGAAUCAGUUUGUGUCUUUACUGGGAUUGCAUCAUUCGCAUUAUUCGAAAACAAAAGUAAAAAAUGGCUGACUCCACAUCGGUGAAAAUUGCGAUCGCGAUAGUUUUCUGGCUGGAAAAUAGCCAAUAAAGCCAAUAAUUAGAUCACAAAGUGCAGAAUUUUCUUAACGGGAAACGAUGAAGCUGAUUCUGGUGGCAGUGGCGAAAGGCGGUUCAGGUAGGAGCACAAACAGCGAAAAGGCGACAGUAAAAAUUCACCCGGAUCUUCAGCCUCCUUUUCAGAAGAAGGAGAACAUCGCAUAUCCCUCAUCAGUUGGAAUAAUGAAAGCUGAAAUACGCUUAGGCCGAUUGAAAACCUUGGAGAGUAACAGCACUGUAGAAGUAACGUGGAACAAUCGUCCCCACAUCGAGCUGAAAUUCCAAACCUUCCAGCGAGCACUUCCCUAAUUACAACAUGUACCGUUCUUACCAGAUACGACGUUGCAGGAGCAGUUCAUCUUACAAGGAACCUGGUGCUGCAUGCUGUCUCCUGGUUUCACCCUUAGGGGAUGUUGUAAACACCAAAAAAAAAAUCGGUACGCGAACACCCAAAAAAGAUUGUGUGCUACACUGUGAUUGCAAACUUUUGAAGCCUCUAACUUCGAAGGAAGGAAACUAGGACCAGCCACUAGCAUAAUGUUCAUCGUGAGCGAGAUAACGAACGCACGGAUUCCGAAAAUUGAUGCUGUUUUCAUACCUUCCAGAGCAAUUGACCAAAAAAUACAUCCAGCAAUAAAUUAAGGAUAAAAGUGACUGGAGAGAAUAAGCCCCAAAUAAGGAUAUGAAGAGAUGCAAGUGCCAGUUUCAAGAAUUAAGCUAGAUAAGCAUAUUUAAAAGAUUCUCCAUUUCUUGAAAAUGUAGUAAAAAUUCCUUUUUAAUACUUUUUGGACUGAUUUAAAAAUUGCUUAAAUUUAAAUUGUUUAAUCGAGCACUCCUUCAAUUUUGAGGCGCGUUUUAUUUCUUAAUUCUUAGGCACUUUUACAAAUUUACACAAAACCAAUAAGAACUUUGUAUGUAAGAAUAAUCUAAAUUCAAGGAUAAUGGAAAUUAAAAGAAGAAAUGCAAAAAGCUCGCUUUCGAACGGUUGGAAAGAUAUUGUAAAAAUUGUAAGAGUGAAUAAAAACUUUUAAUAAAAAAAAUA
Uranotaenia lowii is the source of this 1331-nucleotide long non-coding RNA. RefSeq lists it as uncharacterized. The record is from RefSeq and is a predicted model, not a curated record. The transcript is spliced from 4 exons. Lineage: Eukaryota; Metazoa; Arthropoda; Insecta; Diptera; Culicidae.